AAACAAAACAAAACAAAAAAGAAAGACAUGGACCCAAACAUAGAGACACUGCUUCCAGCAGAUCAGGCAGUAUGGGGUGCCUUAACCACAGACAUCUGUCUAAUGUUAGGUACCAAAACCCUGUGGAGCAUUGAGACUGGAAUUCUCUAAAGACAGGCAAGUGACACUGAAACUCCACUACUGUACUGGUAGAACACUUUUCUUCACAUUAUUUCAAAUAUUUGACUACUUCAUUUACCUUUCACUAGGGUUAGUUUAACAUAGAUGGAUAUUAUGUAAAUUCUAUCAUGUUGGCUUCCAAAACAACGGAAUGUUAAAAAAUAUGCUGAUAGUCAUUCCAGCUUAAUAGCUGCAAGGGUCAAACACAAGAAGUCUUAUGUGCAUACUGCAUAGCAUAAAGUGAGGAUGGGGACUGGACCUGUCUUCUUGCCUUUUCUGAGAGCAUCAUUUGCUCCAAGGAGCAACUUCUGUAUUUUGAGGAAGCGGACUGUAGUUCAGGAUGGUGAUUAGUUACACAAUAACAAUUUUUGCUAUAUGUUGCCUUCCCCUUAGAAUACAAAGUUUAGAGAUGUUAAUGUUCUCAUGCCAGUAAAGACAAAUAUCCUCUAUUAAAAAGGACAUUUAAUAUGGCUUAGUGAAAUCAUCACUCUUAUCCCCAGACUCAUAUUUUGAAAUGCUGCAGUUGGAAACAACAAGCUCGAGCAAUGAAGACUUCAUCUGUCACGUUGACCUGGGCGGUAAGGGACAUACUGCAGGCAGCCAUCACUAACUGCCUGAGCAAGAUGACUUAUGCGACCAAACAGGUCUUCUAAUUUCUGAAUGAUCAUGUCAGACACUUUCAUCUACCGUGUAAUUACUUAUUUGCCCUUAGGCAGUUCAUUUGGUUCCCAUUAUCAUAAAACUAUACCUCUUGAUGCAGCCUAACAUGUUGGUUCAAGUACUCUUCGAAUCCUCCUGAAUUUCCCUCCUGUAAUGUAAUGUAAGUUUUCUGUCUUCAUAGAAGGUAAGAGAUUCUGGACUUAUAAUGAGAAACUGCACUUUAGGGAGCUGAGAUGGUUAUUUCUGUGCUUUACCACAGCCUCAGCUCUCAGCUCGGUAAACAUUUGGACUGCUAAACCAGAAAUCUCCAUGUAUCAACACUGGCCACCAUCACCCAAGAAAAUCCCAUUGCUGACACACAUCAGCAAACAGCAACUAAGUUAGAACUUCUCAGGCUAUAGUUUAUAUGACAGGGCAGAUGAAGAGCUUGUUUUAAUUAUAAGCUUCUACGGAAAAAUAAUAAAAUCUGAGUAGCAACAGCCACGUAUCUAACCCUAAAAGGAAGCUACAAAUGUGUUCAGUAAAGGCACCCAGCACUGAUUUGUCUCACCACAUGCACUCGGAGUUGCUGGUGAUGCCACAGGCGGAAGGAAUGUCACUGCUGUCACCACAUGCUCAGUCCCAUAGGCAGAUGAAGGUAGUUUUGCUCCAGUUUGACACCUCUAUUCAAGAUUGUGCCCAGAUUGUGAAAAACAGCAGACUUGCUAUGAAUCUUACAAAGUCAAUUUAGAGCUUGUUAGGUCUCCAAGAUACUCUUCUAAACUAGAAGCAUAGGUAAUUUGGAAUUAGAUGCCUGGUAACUUAGUCCAAUAGGGAGCUAUUGGUAUGGUUUUAGACAACUCUUUCAAAGUUAUAACCAUUAUCUCAGACUCAAGUUUGCUGUUAAUACCUCCUCUACAUGGCUGGAAACAUUACAGUGGUGCAAAUGAGAAUCCAGUCCAUCAUUCUUAAUGUACGCUACACUGGACAUAAAAUCCAUUUUCCUACCUUUGCAUCAGCCCCAGAUACACGGAAACUGCUGGCACCCACAGUAGGGUGAGAUGCAGUGAUACCAGAUGAAGAGCUAAUGCUGUAGUGCCAAGCCAUUAGGAACCCAGACAUAAAGAGACAUAAACCAGCACUAUGUACUCGCAGUCUGAUGAGAGACUGAAAAUGAAAACAGCCAAUAUCAAGACUAUUAAAAGACUGUUUUCAGGUUAGAGUCCUUGUCUAGUAUGCAAUCCCACUCUAAAGGCCUGACUCUACUGGAAUCAAGAAAAAACAGGCCUUUGGGGAGAUCUGAUAAGAAAUGGAAUAAGACAAUACUUUUUAAUUAGUUGAUAGAUGCUGGUUAGGACUAUGAUACUAUUUCAAGGGCUUGUGGCAUUCAGAUUUCUAAUCUAGUAAGUUUAUUGUGUGUGGCAGAGGCAGAGUACCUUAUGGAGAAGUUUGUCUGGAGCAGAAGCUCUGAAAAUGAUUCCAGAAACUGACAGUGCACACACAGCAGAGAGAUUUCCAUAAACUACUGUGUCCCUCUCUGGUGAGAUCCCACAGCCGAUCACUGGGGAGUGAGAAAGUUAAGAGCUUUCUUCCCAAGCAGGUGACAUCACAAGAACUGGCCAGACACCUAAGAACUGUGCACAUCCCACCAAACUUGCUGGUUUGCACUGGGACUUAGUCACCACUGGAAACCCCAUGUGUUGCUCUGCCUUUACCAACAGCUUUUUCUGGAAACUCCCCAUACACAAAUGGUCCAACAGAGAUGAGAAAGAAUCAAAUUAAAAUAAGAAGCUUGCUGUGUCCUAAACCAUUUGUGUAUCCACUGGAGUGAUAUGGCUGGGGACUGCAGAAGUUCCUGUUGAACUUGGAGUGCUGUCAAGCAGUGUUAGCAUGGAAUGAAAAGAGACUAUUUGUAACCAUGUGAUUAUCUGAAACUUGUAAUAAAAACACAUCACAACAGGGAGUAUGAGAUACACUAGCGCAGAUAGAUCCCACGUCUGGGAACUGAUUUCCUACUACACCUUCUUUUAUCAUGAGGAAAGCCAGGAUAAGUACUUAGCACAAGUAUUUUUUCUUCAUUCCCUAUAUUCAUGUACUACUACAGUAGGGAGCAGAUGUCACUUAUUUUUACUUGUGAUCCUACACUAGUUUUCACCAUAGGCUCUAUGUCUAGACGCCGAAGUGGCUCCAUACCAUUCACAAAGGGAGGAGAUGCAGUGCUGACCAUUCUGUAAAUAGCUGCUACCUUCCUCUGCUCAUCCCACCUUAGGCUACAAAAAAUGUGCGAGAUCUGCAAAGAAUGGAAC
Molecule: long non-coding RNA, 3104 nt
Organism: Cygnus olor (mute swan)
Lineage: Eukaryota; Metazoa; Chordata; Aves; Anseriformes; Anatidae
Exons: 4
Source: RefSeq, a predicted model, not a curated record